AGCGUGCCACUGUGCAUUCACAUUUUUCUUUCUGCACGUGUCAGCUCAUUGCUCUUCCUCAGAGCUCUUUUUCUCCGCCAAACCCUGCAAAGCAGACUUUAACCACUCGUUUCCCGAAUGGGGAACUCCACACACAACUUCAUGAAAGCCAGGCUCUCAAGGCACUUCCCAGCUACUGUGCCAGAAUCCUCCCGUCCCUCUGCAACCCGAGGCUAUGGACAAAAGAUUUUGCGACUUUCGAUCAAGACCUGGAGUUGAAGCACACACAGCAGGAGAUGACAUUGUUUCAGACAUAAAAAGCUAGAGCACAUGGCUUUGUUUUAAGCCUUCCCAAGACAGGAGGCUUAUGAAUAGAAGGAAAUCACAUGGAGAUAGCCUUGCUCCACCUGAGGAGGAACAUAUUGGGCACCUGUUGAGUAUGCACCAGCUCCUCAUUCGUACAAGAACUAAUGUAACAGAUCUCCAUGCAAGAAAGGAUUGACAUGCCAAGAAGCUUUAAAAUAAUUAUUCGAACUGCAGAAAGGUCAUUACAACAAAGGAAGCUGAAGACCACUGUGAACUGGAAGUCUGACACAAAGAUUUGUGCCUCGACCUCAUUUUAAAGCUAUCACACUGCCACUGUUGUAGAACGGAAAAUGAUAUUUUCCUUUUCUUUUCAAGCUACAUGUAUACACAUAAAUGUGAGUUGAAUCUUCUUCACAAUCUUUAUCAAUUUUUCAGGGAAACUACACAGUCAUGUUGGCAGAGAAGCUUCUGGCAAGAAUAGGUAACUGAGAGGUCAAACUAUUGGAAGUCAUGCGGGGAUCUGUGCUAGCCACUGUAUUCACAAAUAACCCAGGAAAGGGGGUGAGCUGCAGGAUGACGGCAUUGAGGGUGGCAAGUAGAAGUGCCAAGUGUGAAGAUCUGAAGAAAGAUCUGUGUGACUGAGUGAUAAACCAACAUGAAACUCCAUGUAGGAAAAUCAAACAGAAUGUUCCACAAGAGGAAAUAACCUCUGAGUUUUCCACAUAAAAUAAUAUACUCAGUGGAAGAUGACUUCUUACGAGAGAGAUCUCAGGCUUAUGACAGAUAGUGCCAAGAAAAUGUCAGCUCAGUGUGAAACAAUGCAAGCCAAAGGUUAUCAUGGAUCAGAGAACAAAUUAGAGGAUAUCAUGUUGCCACUGAACAAACUGGUGUUUUGCUCAGCCUUUCAAUACUGUGUGUAAUUCUGAUACUGCCUUUCUAGAGCAGGUAUAAUAGAGUUGGGGUAGGGUAAGUCAAGGAUAUUCAAAGAUAAGGAAUGGUUUCUGUAUAGGGAACUACUUAAUAGAUGGGAUCACCUCAACCUUCAGAAGAGAGAAAUUUAAGGUAUAGUGUAAACAUCAUAGAAUCGUAGAAUCAUACAAUGAUUUGUGUCGGAAGGAACCCUAGACAUCAUCUAAUUACAACCUCUCUGCCACAGGCAGGGAUACCUACCACUAGAUCAGGCUGAUCAAGGCCUCAUCCAAUGUAUCUACUAUGCUUCCUCCAAAUGUUCUCCCAGUUUCCAGUCAUUUGAGGCUCAAAGAGUUCUUGAGCCGUACAUAACUCUUCUUGGACUUCGAUGCCUCAGGCUUGUAUACUUGCCAUCUCAGCUUCAGUAGCCCUUUGUCACACAUAGCAUUCUUCAGCCAGAAAUGCUUCUUCAAGCAAUUCAUAGAUUUCUACCAUGCUUCCCCCAUUUCAUCUCUCUCACAGAAUCGUAGAAUAGUUACGGUUGGAAGGGACCUUAAAGAUCAUGUAGUUCCAACCCCCCUGCCAUGUUCUCAGAGGCCAAAUGCUACAGCUUGUCCAGGUCCCUCUGGAUGACAUUCUGUCCUUCUGGUGUGACAACUGCAUCGCUCAGCUUCGUGUCACCUGCAAACUUGCUGAGGGUGCACUCCAUCUCGCUGUCAAUGUCAUUGAUAAAGAUAUUAAACAGCACUGGGCCCAGUAUGGACCCAUGAGGGACACCAGUUGUCACGGAUCUCCAUCUGGACUUUGAGCCAUUGUUAGCCUCUUUCCAGGCUAACAAAUCUCAGUCUGCACAGCCAUCCCUUGCCGGAAAAGGUGAGUCUGUCCCUGUACUCAUCUUUCGUAGCAUCAUAGGAUUGUAGGAGAGUUUGUGUUGGAAGAGACCUUAAAGUUCACCCAGUUCCAACCCCCCUACUAUGGGCAGGGACACAUCCCACUAGACCAGGCUGCUCAAGGCCGCAUCCAACCUGGUCUUGAACACCUCCAGGGAUGGGGCAUACACGCCUUCCCUGGGCAACCUGUUCCAGUGCUUCACCACCCUCUUUGUUAACCAAUUCCUCUUUAUCUGGACAUUGAGCCACUGACCUCUGAAUACGAUCAUCCAAACAACUUCUUAGGCACUGAACAGUCCAUGCAUCAAAUCCAUAUCUCUCCAAAUUAGAGAUAAGGUUGCUGUGGGGGACCAUGUCCAAGGCCUUACAGAAGUCCAGACAGAUCACACUCGUUGGUUUUUGCAUAUCCACUGCUGUGGUUACCCCAUCAUAGAAAUCGAUUAGGAUGGUCAUACAGGACUUGCACCUGGUGAGGCCAUGCUGGCUGUCACUAAUCACCUCCUUGUCCUCCAUAUGCUUUAGCAUAGCUUCUAGGAGGAUCUGUUCCAUGAUCUUGCCAGACAGAGAGGUGAGGCUGACAGGUCAGUAGUUCCCAGGGUCGUAUUUCCUACCUUUUUUAAAAAUGGACCCGAUGUUGCCCUUCUUCCUGUCACGAGAGACUUCUCCUGACUGCCAUGACUUUUCAAAUAUUGUGGAGAGUGGCUUGGCAACCACAUCAGUGAAUUCCCUCAGGACUCCAGGAUGCAUCUCAUUAGGUCCAAAGAGAUGCUGUUUGAGCUCACUGUCAUUAGGUUCUAGAGCACAGAACCAUCAAAUUCAGAUAGUUGGAACCAGGUUAGAAAAAGAUAGUGGGACAUGAUUAUUCAGGCAACUGCUCUGUGAAAAUCCUUUCCAAGAGAUGCUGCCAUAGUGCAGGUUUGCAUGGUGCAAGGGCCACUGGGAUUAACUAAAUACUUAGAAACACAUGCAAGUGCAGUAAACACCCUGAAGUAGAAAUACCUGCUGUCUGGCAAAGUGUUAUAGAGAAGUGUCAUAUGUACAUGGCCUGUGCAUAUUGUUUCCCAGGUACCCACUUAAGGUGACUGUUGGAAGCAGAAUACAGAAGAAGCUAUCCCUUUGCUCUGGCACAGUGUGAAUGGUCUGGAGUGUGCCACUCUCCAAACAAGCUUCUGCCUCUGUAUGUUCAGGCUGUGUGCUUGUAGCUGAAGGAUGGAGAAGAAGUGUGUCUCACCUUAUGUAGCUACUCAUAUUUAUCUUUGUGAUGUAAACUCAAGAGUUUUCUUUUUAUUGUUUAAUUAUUAUCUGCUGUAAUUUCUCUCACUGCUUCUUGCAAAGACUUCCUUGCUAGAGAGCUUUCUGAAACAACCCAGUACAAAGUAGAAAAAUACACUGAAAAAUCACAUGGAGUGCAUUACUUCUACUUAACCAUAGCCACAUCGGCACCUAAGCUAUUAAUCCACAUGUUAUACUGUAUAACUGAACUCUGCCUCCUGCAAGGAAUAUUUCUCUUCAUGUUAGUGGAAAAAAAAAAAAAAUUAAAUGAGAAAAAAGUUGCUACAAAGAGUUUUGAUUAAAGUCUGUUGAAAAACAUCUUAAGCAGUGUCUCCUGCUCUGACCAAACGUAGGCUUUGGAGAAAUCCCAGAAGUCUGGAAAUUUGAGGAAUAUUGAACACAAGCUUUUAUCUCUAUGGCAGUGCCCUGGAACACCACCACUCAUACAUACCUAGGGAUUGCUUUCACAGCAAGUUUGAAAUCCGUGUAAACCAUGGUUGCUGCUGCCACAUGCUCCCCCAUCUUUCCACAUAGAGCAAAAUUUUCCCUCCUAAUGUCCUUCACCUGUAUGUGUAAAUGGUUAAUAAACCAGUACAAGAUGAUCCAUCGGAGAAAUAACCUGGCAAAGAAAAAUGACUAGUUUUCAGUUACAUCAGUUCCAGAAUGUGCAAGGGAUGGGGGCAAUGCCAGGAAGAUGGUCCUGCUAGUGAGUAACUGGUCUGUGCCUUACUCUCCUCAGUGUGUGCUGACUAAGGUGAAAAGACUGUUUCUUGUACAGUGAAUAUUAUUUUUUAGCAGUUUGUAAAGGUAAAAAACAAAAAGCAAAAAUUAUAGAAAUCUAUUAACUUCAGUAGUUUAGUCAGGAUCACUGUCCUUUGCCUAGCAGAAAGGGGUUUCAGGCGUCUCUUCUGUACCUUCAAGCACUUUUUCUGUUCUCAAAGGCUUUCCUUACACAUUGUCUGACAAAGUUGCCUUUCCUUUCAUCUUCUUCUGUACAUCUGUUCUGCAACAAUGAGAAAACUCAGGAAAACAUCCCUGAUAAGACUUCUGCCUUUUUAAUGACUGUGUUUCUUUCUCUUCCUUCAUAUAGAUUCACGUACUUCAAGACACUGCAAAUCAGCCCUUAGCACUUCUUACUGUCUUAGCUGAGAAACAAAUAUCUUACCUGCUCUGAUCACCAAAAUCCAAGCUAUCCUGGGAAAGGUGACUUUUGAUUAUAAAU
This is a long non-coding RNA of Cuculus canorus (common cuckoo), 4578 nucleotides long. RefSeq lists it as uncharacterized. The transcript has 4 exons. The record is from RefSeq and is a predicted model, not a curated record. Lineage: Eukaryota; Metazoa; Chordata; Aves; Cuculiformes; Cuculidae.